Molecule: long non-coding RNA, 451 nt
Organism: Asparagus officinalis (garden asparagus)
Lineage: Eukaryota; Viridiplantae; Streptophyta; Magnoliopsida; Asparagales; Asparagaceae
Exons: 3
Source: RefSeq, a predicted model, not a curated record
UUCGAUAGCAUCAGCUAAUCGCAGUGCAAAGCUAUAUGAUCACUUUCUGGGAGCUACUCCCUACGCUUGGUUUGAGCAUAAAUAUUUGUGUGAAAAUCCGGACGCCUUGACUAUGCCACCAACUCUUCUUGCUAGAAGAGCAUAUACACCACCCGUGGGCUAUGAUAAGGAGGAAAAGAUGAUAAAAAUUAAGUAUAUUCAUGUUAGAGGAGGUACUCCCGUAGGAAGCAGCAAUACAAUGUGAUGUUUUAAUGCAGACGACGCUGAUAACAGGGAUGCCGAUAACGACGAUGACGAGGGGUGAGUGAGACUUAUUCUUAUAUUUAUCUAGUUUUAGAUUUGUUAAGACAUAUUAUGACUUUUAAUUUUACCUAUAUGUAAUAUACUUGUGGUUUUAUUGCGUUGUGAAUGAAUAUUGUUUGAAUAUUAUGGUUGUAAUUAUAAUGUGGAA